UUGCAGAUGUGGCCUGAUCUUAUAAAAAAGGCCAAAGAUGGAGGCUUAGAUGUCAUACAAACUUAUGUAUUUUGGAAUGGGCAUGAACCAUCUCCUGGAAAGUACAACUUUGAAGGGAGGUAUGAUUUGGUGAAAUUCAUGAAACUGAUA
Long non-coding RNA from Helianthus annuus (common sunflower), 150 nucleotides. RefSeq lists it as uncharacterized. NCBI's taxonomy places the organism in Eukaryota, Viridiplantae, Streptophyta, Magnoliopsida, Asterales, Asteraceae. The record is from RefSeq and is a predicted model, not a curated record. The transcript is spliced from 2 exons.